GCUAGGCGUGGUGGUGCACGCCUGUAAUCCCAGCAGCUCAGAGGCUGAAGCAGGAUGAUAGUGAGUUCAAAGCCAGCCUCAGCAAAAGUGAAGUGCUAAGCAACUCAGUGAGGCCCUGUCUCUA
RNAcentral lists this small RNA (124 nucleotides) under Marmota monax (woodchuck). The record is from RNAcentral. Lineage: Eukaryota; Metazoa; Chordata; Mammalia; Rodentia; Sciuridae.